GACGAACGCUGGCGGCGUGCCUAAUACAUGCAAGUAGAACGCUGAAGAGAGGAGCUUGCUCUUCUUGGAUGAGUUGCGAACGGGUGAGUAACGCGUAGGUAACCUGCCUUGUAGCGGGGGAUAACUAUUGGAAACGAUAGCUAAUACCGCAUAACAAUGGAUGACACAUGUCAUUUAUUUGAAAGGGGCAAUUGCUCCACUACAAGAUGGACCUGCGUUGUAUUAGCUAGUAGGUGAGGUAAUGGCUCACCUAGGCGACGAUACAUAGCCGACCUGAGAGGGUGGUCGGCCACACUGGGACGGAGACACGGCACAGACUCCUACGGGAGGCAGCAGUAGGGAAUCUUGGGCAAUGGGGGCAACACUGACCGAGCAACGCCGCGUGAGUGAAGAAGGUUUUCGGAUCGUAAAGUUCUGUUGUAAGUCAAGAACGGGUGUGAGAGUGGAAAGUUCACACUGUGACGGUAGCUGACCAGAAAGGGACGGCUAACUACGUG
Molecule: ribosomal RNA, 497 nt
Filed under: uncultured bacterium
Lineage: Bacteria
Description: partial 16S ribosomal RNA
Rfam family: Bacterial small subunit ribosomal RNA
Source: RNAcentral